ACUAGGUGCAGUGGCACACGCCUGUAACAGUGCCAGCUUCUUAGGAGACCGAGGCAGGAGAAUUGCUUGAGUCCAGGAGUUCCGGGCUGUAGUGCACUACGCUGACUGGGUGUCUGCACUAAGUAUGGCUCCAAUGCAGGGGACCACAAAGCUGCCUAAGGAGCAGAGAACUGGCCCAAGCUGGAAAUGGAGCCAGUCAAAAUUCCUGUGCUGUCCAGCAGUGGGAUUGUGUCUGUCAACAGCCAAUGCACUCCAGCCUGGGCAACAUAAUGAGACCACGUCUUU
RNAcentral lists this signal recognition particle RNA (285 nucleotides) under Carlito syrichta (Philippine tarsier). RNAcentral's name for it is "Metazoan signal recognition particle RNA (ENSTSYG00000026796.1)". It matches the Rfam family "Metazoan signal recognition particle RNA". From Rfam's summary of the family: The signal recognition particle (SRP) is a universally conserved ribonucleoprotein. It is involved in the co-translational targeting of proteins to membranes. Lineage: Eukaryota; Metazoa; Chordata; Mammalia; Primates; Tarsiidae. The record is from RNAcentral.